GAAAGGCUAGCUCUGGGCGCACAGGAGCCUGCCUGUUUUGCAGGUUAUAAGCAGCCUCCUCACAUUCUUCAUAGGCUUGGCCUGAGUGCUGUUCUUCCUUAUGGUACAGCAUGAGUUCUAAUAGGCCUCUUCAGGAUGGCAUAUUCUUGCAUACCUGUGAUUUCCAUCUUGAGUAGAGCAUGCUGAGCUAGCACACUCAGAGCUGGUAACACUGAGGGCAGCUAACGCUGAAUGCUCCUGGCAGCAGGGCUGGUGACACGGAAGGUGGCUGACAGCCGAGGAUGACGGACAGCAAUGAAGAAUAGCCAGGAGCCACCAUCUGUGGGGGCCAGAAGGAUUCCUGAGACAUGGGCAGCUGCUGGCUCCAGGUACCAAGCAGGGCUGGUGACACUAGAAGAGCUGCGCUCUGCUGAUUGGUGAUUUCUAUAUGAAUUCAGCAAGAACCCUCGGCUGAUUGGUGACACCUUGGAAGCUGGAACAGGGACCCUUGGACAAUGAUCAUCAUCAGGCUCAGGAAUGUUUUAUUUCCAUCUUACAUGUGGCUAAAAACCUGCACUAACUGGUACUGGGGAUCGAACUUGGGUCCUUCCACUUGUGAGGCAAGCAGCGGAACUACUGAGCUAAAUCCCUGGUGACACUGAAAUUUCUUUAUGUGAGCAAAGUGCUCCCAAAUUGAGCUACAUCUCAGCCCUGAAAUUGAAUUUUUUGGUUUAUUUUGAGACAGGGUGUCACUAUAUAGCCCAAGCCAGCCUUGAACUCGCUGAGUAAUCCAGGGUUGCCUUGAAUUUAUAAUCCUCCUGCCUCUGCCUCCAGGUGCUGAGAUUUAUAGGUAUGGGCACCACACCUAGCUUGAAAUUGAAUUAUUUUUUUUUUGGUACUGGGGAUUGAAGUCAGAACCUUGUGCUUUCGGGGCAGGUGGCGGAACCACUGAGCUAAAUCCCCAGCCCUGAAAUUUAAUUCUUUUUUUUUUUUUUUUUUGGUACCGGGGAUCAAACUUGGGUCCUUGUGCUUGCGCAGCAGGCGGGGAAACCACUGAGCUAAAUCCCCAGCUGAAAUUUAAUUCUUAAAAGGAGACGACGGUGUAGGAACUUCUAGAAGCUCUUCCAGGCUUUGCUCUCUCAAGGACUUCCUGACACAGAGGAGUCUCAACUAUUCCUGGUUGUCUUUACAGUGCAGAGGAAGGUUUCAGAGCAGGACUGAGAAUUGGGAAAGGAGAGGCCAGGAUGGAGAACUGCCAGGAGCCUCAGGGCCACCAAGAUGAAAUGGGAACACAGGUUGGAGCUGGCUCUGGAUAGUGAAUCCUUAAAACUAUCUGCAUCUAGGGCUGGGGAUUUAGCACAGUGGUUCCGGGGCCUGCCUCGCAAGCAUAAGGUCCUGAGUUCGAUCCCCAGUACCAAAAACAAAAACAAAACUAUCUGCGUCUGUUAUGUUCGAGAAAGUCUCUUUUGUGGAGACAGUUCAUGGAGAGAGAAUUCUAGUUUAAAGGCCUUGGAUUCAGUGUGUGAAGCCAUUGACUGCUUCCUUUGUUGUAAGAGAAGGAAUGGGAAGAGUAGCAGGUAGGGAUAUGGGUCAGUAAGUUGGAAUUUGAUAUCUUUCUACCUGAAGGCUGGAGUUUUCUUUAUGAAGAAUGAAGUUUUUCUGUGCACUGGAAGCAGGUGUUGUGGUAGGGAGAUGGAAGGCAGCAGACAUCUGAGGAAGGUGGAGAAAACAGCAGAUGGUCUCAACAAAGAAUGGAAACCAGUACUGAGAAUGGAAAGUAAGGCUUGGGAUGUUGCUCUGUGGAAGAACACUUGAACACUUGCCUAGCAUGGCCAAGUCCCUGGUUGGUUCAAUUCCCAACACCAGGCCAGGGAUUUAGCUCAGUGGUUUCGCUGCCUGCUGUGCAAGUGCAAGGACCCGAGUUCGAUCCCCGGAACCAAAAAAACAAAAAACAAACAAACAAACAAAAUAAAAUAAACAAAUCUACAUCCAUCUGCUCAGUGGCGUGAUUUUCUUUGUCAGUACUGAAGCUUAGGUGUCUGUAAAUUUGGUAAAAUAUAGAUUUUGUCUCUUUGUUGAGACUUCAUGGGAAUAAUCAUACAGAGGCCUAAUAAUUAUAAAAGAAAUUUAGCAAAGUCUUUCCAGCUCUUCCUCACAGCCAGACAGACAUUUACCAAGCACACAGUGGUUUUCUGUUUCACAUCUUCCUGCGGAUUGAGUUGGUUUCCUCCCCCAAGCAUCAAUACCUGCACACUUUGCGCUGCAGUUGUCAGUGUCAAAGGGUAAAGAAUGCCUGGUUUUUCUGUUUUCAGGAAAAUUAGAUUGAAACUCGGGCA
This is a long non-coding RNA of Heterocephalus glaber (naked mole-rat), 2315 nucleotides long. NCBI's taxonomy places the organism in Eukaryota, Metazoa, Chordata, Mammalia, Rodentia, Bathyergidae. The record is from Ensembl.